RNAcentral lists this ribosomal RNA (253 nucleotides) under uncultured bacterium. RNAcentral describes it as "partial 16S ribosomal RNA". It matches the Rfam family "Bacterial small subunit ribosomal RNA", at positions 524 to 776 of the family's 1533-position model. The record is from RNAcentral.
UACGUAGGGUGCAAGCGUUGUCCGGAAUUAUUGGGCGUAAAGAGCUCGUAGGCGGUUCGUCGCGUCGGCUGUGAAAACCCGGAGCUCAACUCCGGGCCUGCAGUCGAUACGGGCGGACUCGAGUUCGGCAGGGGAGACUGGAAUUCCUGGUGUAGCGGUGAAAUGCGCAGAUAUCAGGAGGAACACCGGUGGCGAAGGCGGGUCUCUGGGCCAAAACUGACGCUGAGGAGCGAAAGCGUGGGGAGCGAACAGG